Molecule: ribosomal RNA, 508 nt
Filed under: uncultured archaeon 63-A24
Lineage: Archaea
Description: bacterial SSU rRNA
Rfam family: Archaeal small subunit ribosomal RNA
Source: RNAcentral
CUUUACAAUGCACGCAAGUGUGAUAAGGGGAUCUUGAGUGUCUUCGAUUUUCGGAGACUUUUGCCAUGUGUAAAAAGCAUAGCGAAUAAGGACUGGGCAAGACUGGUGCCAGCAGCCGCGGUAAUACCAGCGGUCCAAGUGGGACUCGAUUUUAUUGGGUCUAAAACAUCCGUAGCCGGUUUUGAAAGUUUUUUGUUAAAUUGUUAUGCUUAACGUAACAGCUGCAAAAAAUACUGCAAGGCUAGAGACUGGGAGACGUAGUGAGUACAUUAAGGGUAGUAGUAAAAUGCGUUAAUCCUUUUUGGACUAACAAUGGCGAAGGCACACUACGAGAACAGAUCUGACGGUCAGGGAUGAAAGCGAGGGGCGCAAAACGGAUUAGAUACCCGUGUAGUCCUCGCUGUAAACGCUGCCUAUUAAACAUUGUGAUCUCCUCGAGAGAUGGCUGUGCUGAAGCGAAGGCGGAAAUAGGCUACCUGGGAAGUAUAGUCGCAAGAUCGAAACUUAA